CGGGAGGCUGGCGGCUAGGGUUUGGGUUCAGUGUGAUACAAGAUAUUUGUACCCAUCUCGCGUUAAUAUAGACCGUUUAUCGCGUUUGAGCUUGACUAUUUGAUCGUGCCUAAGGAGGAAACGAAUCUAGGUCGUUCAUUGCAUUUGUUCUCGACUGUCCGAUCGCGUUUAACGAAAAAAUGAAUCUGAAUCGUUUAUUGCAAUUUGAUCUUGACCAUCUGAUCGCAUUUAAAGGAGGAACAAAUUCAGGUUGUCCACGCCCGCGGGAUCGAUCCUGGGUCGUUCGAUCGUGGGGCACGCGGAUCGCCCACGUGGCAUCUCGUGUGGCACCUACGUUAGCGUGCCUUGCCAUGGGGUGUACUCUAGUUCAUCGGGGUUACUGACUGAG
RNAcentral lists this long non-coding RNA (388 nucleotides) under Carica papaya (papaya). Its description in RNAcentral is "long non-coding RNA (CPAP_LNC007650)". The record is from RNAcentral. Lineage: Eukaryota; Viridiplantae; Streptophyta; Magnoliopsida; Brassicales; Caricaceae.